GCCAGUGGGGUGUAGUGGUUUGACCAUUGGACUAUGACUUUGGAGACCAGGGUUCGAUUCCCUGCUCAGCCA
Molecule: transfer RNA, 72 nt
Filed under: Phrynosoma platyrhinos (Desert horned lizard)
Lineage: Eukaryota; Metazoa; Chordata; Lepidosauria; Squamata; Phrynosomatidae
Description: tRNA-OTHER
Source: RNAcentral